Molecule: transfer RNA, 77 nt
Filed under: Bryobacterales bacterium
Lineage: Bacteria; Pseudomonadati; Acidobacteriota; Terriglobia; Bryobacterales
Description: tRNA-Cys
Rfam family: tRNA
About the family: Transfer RNA (tRNA) molecules are approximately 80 nucleotides in length. Their secondary structure includes four short double-helical elements and three loops (D, anti-codon, and T loops). Further hydrogen bonds mediate the characteristic L-shaped molecular structure. tRNAs have two regions of fundamental functional importance: the anti-codon, which is responsible for specific mRNA codon recognition, and the 3' end, to which the tRNAs corresponding amino acid is attached (by aminoacyl-tRNA synthetases). tRNAs cope with the degeneracy of the genetic code in two manners: having more than one tRNA (with a specific anti-codon) for a particular amino acid; and 'wobble' base-pairing, i.e. permitting non-standard base-pairing at the 3rd anti-codon position.
Source: RNAcentral
GGCGUGUGGUAGCCAAGUGGUAAGGCAGAGGUCUGCAAAACCUUUAUUCGUGGGUUCGAUUCCCACCCGCGCCUCCA